MicroRNA precursor from Medicago truncatula (barrel medic), 229 nucleotides. It matches the Rfam family "MIR2630 microRNA precursor family". The record is from Rfam. Lineage: Eukaryota; Viridiplantae; Streptophyta; Magnoliopsida; Fabales; Fabaceae.
CUCUGCAAAUAUAAAAUAUUUGGUUUUGGUCCUUGGUAUUUUGUUUUAAUCCUUGUAAAAUCAUUUCAUAUUGAAAAUGGUCCCUAUAAUAUUCAUUUUAGUCCUCGUUUUGAGGGACUAAAAUCAAAUAUUCUACAUAUUACAAGGACAAAAUCCAAUAUGAAUCAAUUUUACAAGGACUAAAAUAAAAUACCAAGGACCAAAACCAAAUUUUUUAUAUUUACAGAGA